RNAcentral lists this ribosomal RNA (469 nucleotides) under Ectomocoris quadrimaculatus. RNAcentral describes it as "SSU rRNA". It matches the Rfam family "Eukaryotic small subunit ribosomal RNA", at positions 718 to 1053 of the family's 1831-position model. Lineage: Eukaryota; Metazoa; Arthropoda; Insecta; Hemiptera; Reduviidae. The record is from RNAcentral.
CCUGUCGGUGUAACUGGCAUGUCGCGGCAUGUCCUGUCGGUGGUGAACGGGAUCCCCGGUGCUGUUUAGGCUUAAUUGCCGAAGCAUGUACCGUGUGUGUUUUCGUUUGCCGAUCUCUCCUACUCCGGUGCUCUUAAACGAGUGUCGAGGUAGGCCGACACGUUCACUUUGAACAAAUUAGAGUGCUUAAAGCAGGCUGAAAUAUCUGCCUGAAUAGUGGUGCAUGGAAUGAUAAAACAGGACCUCGGUUCUAUUUUGUUGGUUUUAGGAAUAUGAGGUAAUGAUCAAUGUGGACUGGCGGGGGCAUUCGUAUUGCGACGUUAGAGGUGAAAUUCUUGGAUCGUCGCAAGACGCACUAGAGCGAAAGCAUUUGCCAAGUAUGUCUUAAUUGAUCAAGAACGAAAGUUAGAGGUUCGAAGGCGAUCAGAUACCGCCCUAGUUCUAACCAUAAACGAUGCCAGCCAGCGAU